UUUGGUGGCUCGACGCAGGGGUCACACCCGUUCUCAUUCCGAACACGGAAGUUAAGCUCUGUAGUACCGAUGAUACUCGCAAGGGGAAAGUAGGUAGCCGCCAGAA
This 106-nucleotide ribosomal RNA is filed under the name Candidatus Zambryskibacteria bacterium CG_4_9_14_3_um_filter_42_15. The record is from RNAcentral. RNAcentral also lists the same sequence under 1 other name. Lineage: Bacteria; Candidatus Zambryskiibacteriota.